RNAcentral lists this ribosomal RNA (451 nucleotides) under uncultured bacterium. RNAcentral's name for it is "partial 16S ribosomal RNA". It matches the Rfam family "Bacterial small subunit ribosomal RNA", at positions 29 to 523 of the family's 1533-position model. The record is from RNAcentral.
AACGAACGCUGGCGGCAGGCUUGACACAUGCAAGUCGAACGGACGUAGCAAUACGUUAGUGGCAGACGGGUGAGUAACGCGUGGGAAUAUGCCCUUUAGUUCGGAAUAACUCAGGGAAACGUGAGCUAAUACCGGAUAAUCCCGAGAGGGGCAAGAUUUAUCGUUGAAGGAGUAGCCCGCGUCUGAUUAGCUAGUUGGUGAGGUAAUGGCUCACCAAGGCGACGAUCAGUAGCUGGUCUGAGAGGAUGAUCAGCCACACUGGGACUGAGACACGGCCCAGACUCCUACGGGAGGCAGCAGUGGGGAAUAUUGGACAAUGGGGGCAACCCUGAUCCAGCCAUGCCGCGUGAGUGAUGGAGGCCUUAGGGUUGUAAAACUCUUUUGUCCGGGAAGAUAAUGUCUGUACCGGAAUAAUAGGCCCCGGCUAACUUCGUGCCAGCCGCCGCCGUAA